AGUGAACGCUGGCGGUAUGCUUAACACAUGCAAGUCGAACGGCAGCACAGUAAGAGCUUGCUCUUCCGGGUGGCGAGUGGCGGACGGUUCAUGAAUACAUCCUAAUCUACUUUUUCGUAGGGGUUAACGUAGCGAAACUUACGCCAAUACCGCAUACGAUGUACGGUUGUAAGCAUUGGAUCUUCGGACCUUGCGCGAUUGGAUUAGCCGAUGUCGGAUUAGCUAGUUGGCGGGGUACCGGCCCACCAAGGCGACGAUCCGCAGCCGGUCUGAGAGGAUGAUCAGCCACAUGGGAACUGAGACACGGUCAAGACUCCUACGGGAGGCAGCAGUGGGGAAUAUUGGACAAUGGGCGCAAGCCUGAUCCAGCCAUACCGCGUGUGAGAAGAAGGCGUUCGGGUUGUAAAGACCUUUUGUUGGGAAAGAAAAGCAGCAGGCUAAUACCACGCGGUUGUGACGGUACCGAAAGAAUAAGCACCGGCUAACUACGUG
Molecule: ribosomal RNA, 492 nt
Filed under: uncultured bacterium
Lineage: Bacteria
Description: partial 16S ribosomal RNA
Rfam family: Bacterial small subunit ribosomal RNA
Source: RNAcentral